Long non-coding RNA from Tribolium castaneum (red flour beetle), 343 nucleotides. RefSeq lists it as uncharacterized. The record is from RefSeq and is a predicted model, not a curated record. The transcript has 2 exons. NCBI's taxonomy places the organism in Eukaryota, Metazoa, Arthropoda, Insecta, Coleoptera, Tenebrionidae.
AAAAACUGGCUUAAAAAACGUUUACAUUUUUUGUUUAAUAACACAACAACCACCAAAUCUAAUCCAAGAAACUUAUCAAUAAAAUGGCGACAUCAACGACAUCAGGGGCACCAACCGAGUCCGCGAAAUGACAGAUCGUCCACGGUGGUAGGAGUGCGCAGAGACGAAAACUCGUCUCGGACGAGUCCAAUCUUUAAAUUAGGGGUGUUGGCAGAAAACAGUGGCGUGGCGUGUACUUACAUGUGUAGGGAAUUCGUCUUAAAGUUUAACAUUUCAAUAUUACCAGUUAUAGUAAAGAUACCAGUAGAAACAUUUUUUGCAAUAAACGCGUUUUUACUCUUUA